UUACGAGCUGUCAGUGAUCUCUCCCCCUCUACUAGAAACAGGACAGCUUGUGAACGCGAAAAAGCGACACUCAAUUCUUUUAUGUGACCGCCCAUUGAUGUCAUUUGGUGACAACUGGGCGGUCUUGACACGAAGGCGAGAACGGACGGGGUGGAAGAAUGAAUGAAGCGAUUGAUGAUAUGCGCGGAGGGGGACUGAUGCUGCAAC
Molecule: non-coding RNA, 207 nt
Organism: Caenorhabditis elegans
Lineage: Eukaryota; Metazoa; Nematoda; Chromadorea; Rhabditida; Rhabditidae
Source: Ensembl